CCUCGCUCUCCGUCCGCUCCUCCCCCUCUACCUGCCUGUUUUCAGUGAAGCACUUUCCAUCCACUGACGAAACAGCUGACUGAGGAAACAACGGGACUGUUGUGAUGUCAAGUAACGAAGUAACCGCAGCAUCAUGUCUUCUGAGGCAGGCUGCGGAGUGGCUGCCGCCUCAGAGGAGCUGUACCAGCAGAGGAGCCGGUGUGAGGUGGUCAGAUGAGGAGUAGGAGAGAAGAAACAUAGAGGCUGCUUCAAGAGUUGACCCUGGAAGGAGGCUUUUUGACCUGCAGCCUGGGCUGGUUUAUGAUGCAGCAGGGUAUCAUGAUGCUCCACCAUCCACAGGGGCUCAACUGCCAUGCCAUACCUACCUCUGAGACAUCUGUAGCAACAUGCACCCCAAAUUUACAGGCACAUGCAUCAUUUAGAGAUCAAAGGCAAUUCAGUCCUGUUCAGUAGACGUCAAACAUGUUAAAUUAAUCAUUUAUAAUGGUUAUUAUUUUGCCUAUUGUUCAUUAAUAAGUAAACAAAUAUUUUUCAAAAAAUGAUGUGUGG
Scomber scombrus (Atlantic mackerel) is the source of this 549-nucleotide long non-coding RNA. RefSeq lists it as uncharacterized. The record is from RefSeq and is a predicted model, not a curated record. Lineage: Eukaryota; Metazoa; Chordata; Actinopteri; Scombriformes; Scombridae. The transcript has 3 exons.